Cygnus olor (mute swan) is the source of this 534-nucleotide long non-coding RNA. RefSeq lists it as uncharacterized. The transcript has 2 exons. The record is from RefSeq and is a predicted model, not a curated record. Lineage: Eukaryota; Metazoa; Chordata; Aves; Anseriformes; Anatidae.
CCUUUAAGGAUUUCUAUGAACUUUAGUGGAACAAAUGAAUCGUGAUUAUUUUUAAAACUGGAGCUGACUGAAUAAUGCCAAAUCUAUUGCUGCCAAGGUGGGCUUUUCAGAAGAUUCAGACCUGAGGAGUCAGGCAGACCUUUCAAAUACAAGAACAAUAGGAUAGUCCUAAAAUGAAGGAAGAUUAACUCUGAAAAUCAAAUAAUGAGUUUUGGUUGCUGCUGCUUUUUAAACAUGUUAAACAGGUAGGGGACCAAUAUGCUUGCAAAUGACCGAAGUCUUCCUUUCCAGUGGUAAUCCCUAUUCUUUUGAAAAGCUAAUAAAAAUGGUGUAUGAAAGAAAUUCCUGGGGCACUGCAGAACUCACCCUCCUAGGGAGAGAGCCAGAUGUGUUGGUUAAUAACCUAGCAAGCAUUCAAAGCCAGGGCAGUAACCACUUGGUAUCACCUAAGCCAGACGUUCUGCUUAGAUGCAAUGGAAUAUCACAUACUGGUCACAUUCACAGCAAAGAGCUGGAAGACAUGUGUAGUCUUAU